Molecule: long non-coding RNA, 1335 nt
Filed under: Homo sapiens (human)
Lineage: Eukaryota; Metazoa; Chordata; Mammalia; Primates; Hominidae
Description: HSALNT0347178
Source: RNAcentral
CUCUUUUACAGUCUCACAUUGAGUUCCCUGGAAGUGUAUCGAAUUGGGUCUGUUAGCAUCUAGGACAGAGUGUCCCUAUUAAUCAGCAGGGUCAUGGGAAGCCAGCUCAGAGCCACCAACCAGCCUCCAGAUUGUUUCCUUCAGGUCUGAUGCCUUUGCCUAGGAUGAUCCAGCAGGAUGAUAGAGCCACAUCUUGUGUUAUAAAUUAAGGGACCCACAUAGAAGGUGAUACCACUGGUGGAUGCAUGGCUGGAUGAAAACUCUAGAAACCAACAACCUCAGUGACUGAAGGAAGAUGAGUUGGACAAGAAAAAGUGAAAGAGGAGCAGCUAUGGUUCCCGCUGGAAGGAAACGGAAGACUUCAGUUCUCUGGAGGGAGCUUCUCCCGCAGCAUACAGGUUCUUGCUGGAACCCUGUUGCAUUUCCUCUGUAGGACACACAGGUUUAUCUAAGCUGUGAAAGCAACACAGAGAUAAGACCCAUGGUGUUUUCCUUGUUAGAAAAAAGCUGUCUACUUCCUGUCUGGAGAAACCAGGGACACUUGAUUUUGAAGGGACUUCAGCAAUGUAAGCACAAAAUCAGCCCCUUCUCUUUAAUUUAAAUUCCACCCUUCUCUUGGGUGACGGCUGUUUCUAAGUUAUUUAAAGAUUUAGAAAGUAGCUAGAAGGUCACUGGGUUUGUGGCGGCAUUGGCUUUUAAGCUUGUGCAAUAAAACCACAUUCGGCUUGUUCCCUAAGGUGAGGGCAGAAAUGACUGGACGGAAUGCCCACCUGCCCAUACAGUUUGAAGAGAACAGUCCAAGUUCUCAAAUAGUUCGAAACCUUUUAAGAAAUCAGAAAUAGUAGGAAACAUUGCAUCUGAAGUCACAGAAUAUGUUAAUAUUAACCCGUGUGGCUGGAAUAAAUGUGCAAGCUGAUGUGUUAAUCUCUGACGUAUUUGGAGAUAUUUCCUUUAUGUAAAUAAUUUAAACUGUCCACAAGAUAACUUCAUUUUCUACAGAGUCCGAUUUGAUUUUAACAUUUUUUGAAGAUCAUGGGAGUUUAUCAUUUUGUUUUUGGUUUCAUUCAAUGGUAGCAAUCUGAGAUAGUCACCUGCCCAUCCCAGGUCCAGUUGUGUAACUUUUAACAAGUUAUUAAACAUCCUCAUGCCUCAGUUUCUUCAUUUAUAAAGUGGGGAUAAUAGUAUCUACAGCCGGGCACGGUGGCUCAUGCCUGUAAUCCCAGCACUUUGGGAGGCUGAGGCAGGCAGAUCACUUGAGGUCAGGAGUUCGAGACCAGCCUGGUCAACAUGGUAAAAUCCUGUCUCUACCAAAAAUAUAAAAAAUUAGCCAGGUGU